GUAGGGUCAGCUCAUGAAUACUGUCAUUUGAGGUUACAUCAAGCUUGUGGUACUCAACUCUUCCGCCAACAUUCAAUGAUCUGCAUGCAGCCUCACCUUGCUCAUCACUGCGUGCUAAUACCACAUGAUAUUGAUCUUGGCUCAAUCUGAAGGAAUGGGUGGUAAAGGCUAUAUCUUAUAGACUCCCAGAAAAUAUUAUGUGAAUUGACAUCCUAAGUCAAGAUACAGUACAUGUCUGGAGAACAAGCAUGUGUAUAAAGUAGCAAAACAACUAGAUGUUAGUUUUAACCAACAAAACUUCUCAACAACAAAACAAUGUAAAAGUUUUUUUUUCACAAAUAAAAGAAACAAAACUCAAA
Molecule: long non-coding RNA, 359 nt
Organism: Nematostella vectensis (starlet sea anemone)
Lineage: Eukaryota; Metazoa; Cnidaria; Anthozoa; Actiniaria; Edwardsiidae
Exons: 2
Source: RefSeq, a predicted model, not a curated record